Transfer RNA from Camelus ferus (Wild Bactrian camel), 72 nucleotides. It matches the Rfam family "tRNA". Rfam says of the family: Transfer RNA (tRNA) molecules are approximately 80 nucleotides in length. Their secondary structure includes four short double-helical elements and three loops (D, anti-codon, and T loops). Further hydrogen bonds mediate the characteristic L-shaped molecular structure. tRNAs have two regions of fundamental functional importance: the anti-codon, which is responsible for specific mRNA codon recognition, and the 3' end, to which the tRNAs corresponding amino acid is attached (by aminoacyl-tRNA synthetases). tRNAs cope with the degeneracy of the genetic code in two manners: having more than one tRNA (with a specific anti-codon) for a particular amino acid; and 'wobble' base-pairing, i.e. permitting non-standard base-pairing at the 3rd anti-codon position. NCBI's taxonomy places the organism in Eukaryota, Metazoa, Chordata, Mammalia, Artiodactyla, Camelidae. The record is from Rfam.
GAGGGGAUAGCCCAGUGGUAGAGAGCAUGUCUAGCAUGCACGACGUCCUGGGUUCAAUUCCCAGUACCUCCA